AAUUCGAAGCAACGCGAAGAACCUUACCAGGCCUUGACAUGCAGAGAACUUUCCAGAGAUGGAUUGGUGCCUUCGGGAACUCUGACACAGGUGCUGCAUGGCUGUCGUCAGCUCGUGUCGUGAGAUGUUGGGUUAAGUCCCGUAACGAGCGCAACCCUUGUCCUUAGUUGCCAGCAGUUCGGCUGGGCACUCUAAAGGGACUGCCGGUGUUAAACCGGAGGAAGGUGGGGAUGACGUCAAGUCCUCAUGGCCUUUAUGACCAGGGCUACACACGUACUACAAUGGCCGAUACAAAGGGCAGCGACACUGCGAGGUGAAGCCAAUCCCGUAAAAUCGGUCUCAGUCCGGAUUGGAGUCUGCAACUCGACUCCAUGAAGUUGGAAUCGCUAGUAAUCGUGGAUCAGCAUGCCACGGUGAAUACGUUCCCGGGCCUU
RNAcentral lists this ribosomal RNA (434 nucleotides) under uncultured Desulfobulbus sp. RNAcentral's name for it is "bacterial SSU rRNA". It matches the Rfam family "Bacterial small subunit ribosomal RNA", at positions 948 to 1382 of the family's 1533-position model. Lineage: Bacteria; Pseudomonadati; Thermodesulfobacteriota; Desulfobulbia; Desulfobulbales; Desulfobulbaceae. The record is from RNAcentral.